This 492-nucleotide ribosomal RNA is filed under the name uncultured bacterium. RNAcentral's name for it is "partial 16S ribosomal RNA". It matches the Rfam family "Bacterial small subunit ribosomal RNA", at positions 30 to 507 of the family's 1533-position model. The record is from RNAcentral.
AUUGAACGCUGGCGGCAUGCUCUACACAUGCAAGUCGAACGGUAACAGGCCUUCGGUUGCUGACUUGUGGCGGACGGGCGAGUAAGGCAGCGGAACGUACCCAGCUGUGGGGGAGAACGCAGCAACUGCUGUGCUAGUACCGCAUGUGAUCUUAGGAUGAAAGCAGGGAACCGAGCAGCAAUGUUUGGCCUCGCGCCUUUGGAUGCGCCGAUGUCGGAUUAGCUAGUUGGUGGGGUAAAGGCCUACCAAGGCGACGAUCCGUAGCUGGUCUGAGAGGACGACCAGCCACACUGGAACUGAGACACGGCCCAGACUCCUACGGGAGGCAGCAGUGGGGAAUUUUGGACAAUGGGCGCAAGCCUGAUGCAGCCAUGCCGCGUGUGUGAAGAAGGCCUUCGGGUUGUAAACCGCUUUUGGCAGGGAGGAAGCGGGUUCCGCUAAUACCGGGCGCCAUUGACGGUACCUGCAGAAGAAGCACCGGCUAACUCCGUG